This 376-nucleotide ribosomal RNA is filed under the name uncultured bacterium. RNAcentral's name for it is "bacterial SSU rRNA". It matches the Rfam family "Bacterial small subunit ribosomal RNA", at positions 521 to 896 of the family's 1533-position model. The record is from RNAcentral.
UAAUACAGAGGGUGCGAGCGUUAAUCGGAAUUACUGGGCGUAAAGCGCACGUAGGCGGCUUUGCAAGUCGGGUGUGAAAUCCCCGGGCUCAACCUGGGAACUGCAUCCGAGACUGCCUAGCUAGAGUAUGGGAGAGGGAAGCGGAAUUUCCGGUGUAGCGGUGAAAUGCGUAGAUAUCGGAAGGAACACCAGUGGCGAAAGCGGCUUCCUGGACCAAUACUGACGCUCAUGUGCGAAAGCGUGGGGAGCAAACAGGAUUAGAUACCCUGGUAGUCCACGCCAUAAACGAUGAGAACUGGAUGUCGGAAGGGUCUGCCUUUCGGUGUCGUAGCUAACGCGUUAAGUUCUCCGCCUGGGGAGUACGGCCGCAAGGUUG